GGCUCUGUAGCUCAGUAGGUAGAGCAACGGUUUGAAGCACCGUGUGUCACUGGUUCGAUUCCUGUCGGAGCCGCCA
Molecule: transfer RNA, 76 nt
Filed under: Mesomycoplasma hyorhinis
Lineage: Bacteria; Bacillati; Mycoplasmatota; Mycoplasmoidales; Metamycoplasmataceae
Description: tRNA-Phe
Rfam family: tRNA
About the family: Transfer RNA (tRNA) molecules are approximately 80 nucleotides in length. Their secondary structure includes four short double-helical elements and three loops (D, anti-codon, and T loops).
Source: RNAcentral